RNAcentral lists this unclassified non-coding RNA (327 nucleotides) under uncultured fungus. Its description in RNAcentral is "partial contains small subunit ribosomal RNA, internal transcribed spacer 1, and 5.8S ribosomal RNA". The stretch from base 1 to 73 matches the Rfam family "Eukaryotic small subunit ribosomal RNA", at positions 1759 to 1831 of the family's 1831-position model. Lineage: Eukaryota; Fungi. The record is from RNAcentral.
GCAAACUUGGUCAUUUAGAGGAAGUAAAAGUCGUAACAAGGUUUCCGUAGGUGAACCUGCGGAAGGAUCAUUAUCGAAGCUCGAAGGGCCCUAGGUUGUCGCUGGCUUGUCCCUUGCGGGACAAGCAUGUGCACGCCUCUGGUUCUCAAUCCUUCAACACACCCCUUGUGCAUCUUCGCGUGGCGGGGAGGCCUUUCAAGCCUUUUCGUCGCGCUUUCUACACAAACUCUACGCAUGUCUACAGAAUGUCUAUUGUUGCGAUGUAACGCAUCUAAUACAACUUUCAACAACGGAUCUCUUGGCUCUCGCAUCGAUGAAGAACGCAGC